This 240-nucleotide ribosomal RNA is filed under the name uncultured bacterium. RNAcentral describes it as "partial 16S ribosomal RNA". It matches the Rfam family "Bacterial small subunit ribosomal RNA", at positions 537 to 776 of the family's 1533-position model. The record is from RNAcentral.
AGCGUUGUCCGGAUUUAUUGGGCGUAAAGAGCGUGUAGGCGGUUAGGUAGGUCCGUUGUGAAAACUCGAGGCUCAACCUCGAGACGCCGAUGGAAACCCCCUAACUAGAGUCCGGAAGAGGAGAGUGGAAUUCCUGGUGUAGCGGUGAAAUGCGCAGAUAUCAGGAAGAACACCCGUGGCUAAGGCGGCUCUCUAGUACGGUACUGACGCUGAGACGCGAAAGCGUGGGGAGCGAACAGG